This 529-nucleotide RNase MRP RNA is filed under the name Acidomyces richmondensis BFW. RNAcentral's name for it is "RNase MRP". It matches the Rfam family "RNase MRP". Rfam says of the family: RNase MRP is an enzymatically active ribonucleoprotein with two distinct roles in eukaryotes. The record is from Rfam by way of RNAcentral. Lineage: Eukaryota; Fungi; Ascomycota; Dothideomycetes; Mycosphaerellales; Teratosphaeriaceae.
UCCUCGCUCAAAAGAUCGCAAUCAAAGCUGACAAACCGACUACCUUUGGUGGUCCAGCAACACAUACAGCUUUGGGAGAAAGUCCCCGGACAGCCGGACUCUUUGGGCCCGGUUUGCGGAAACGCGCCGCCAUAAAAGCACGUACAGCGGCUCAUCUCGACUACAGCCUCCAUCCCUCCUUGCAAAUCUCCUUUACCGUCUGCACUCUUUCUUGGAUACCCUGCGGCUCGGACUAAUGAGACUUAAGGACCGCUGGCUUCGGCCAGUGCCUGGCGACAGGAGACGAGGAUAUGAGUCUGCUCCUUGUGCUCUCGUCAGUCUCUGCGGCCGCAAGGUGGAAGAGGGGGAGGAGGUGAGGAGGAUCUUGUGCAAAGAGAAAAGGUGGUACUCAGGUUGUUGUUGAGAGCUUUUCGUCGUGGUUGAUAGAUAUGCGAUUGCCUGCUCCUUGCUUGCGGACACAUCUCACAAGAUUUGCUGACUGCAAAGCUCGGAAUACGGUAACUCGAUGGGGCUUAUUCUUGAUGCGAGG